AACGAACGCUGGCGGCAGGCCUAACACAUGCAAGUCGAGCGAGGACUUCUGUCUUAGCGGCGGACGGGUGAGUAACGCGUUGGAACGUGCCCUUUUCUUCUGAAUAUCCCUGGGAAAUUGGGUGUAAUACCUGAUGAGCCCUUUGGGUGAAAGAUUUAUCGGCGAAGGAUCGGCCCGCGUUUGAUUAGGUAGUUGGUGGGGUAAUGGCCUACCAAGCCGACGAUGCAUAGCUGGUUUGAGAGGAUGAUCAGCCACACUGGGACUGAGACACGGCCCAGACUCCUACGGGAGGGAGGAGUGGGGAAUCUUAGACAAUGGGGGAAACCCUGAUCUAGCCAUGCCGGGUGAGAGAUGAAGGCCUUAGGGUUGUAAAGCUCUUUCAGCUGGGAAGAUAAUGACGGUACCAGCAGAAGAAGCCCCGGCUAACUCCGUG
Molecule: ribosomal RNA, 433 nt
Filed under: uncultured bacterium
Lineage: Bacteria
Description: partial 16S ribosomal RNA
Rfam family: Bacterial small subunit ribosomal RNA
Source: RNAcentral